AACGCACCUUGCGCUCCUUGGUAUUCCGAGGAGCAUGCCUGUUUGAGUGUCAUUAAAUUCUCAACCUUUGUUAACUUUUUGGUUAGCAAAUGGCUUGGAUGUGGGGGUAUGCAGGUUUCUCUAUUGAAAUUAGCUCCCCUGAAAUACAUUAGCUGGUUGCCUUGUGUAAACUUGUCUAUUGGUGUGAUAAUUAUCUACGCUGUGGUAGUGAGGUUCCAUUAAGUUCAUGCUUCUAAUCGUCCUUCAUUGGACAACAAUUUUUGUACAUCUGACCUCAAAUCAGGUAGGACUACCCGCUGAACUUAA
Molecule: ribosomal RNA, 306 nt
Filed under: uncultured fungus
Lineage: Eukaryota; Fungi
Description: eukaryotic LSU rRNA
Rfam family: 5.8S ribosomal RNA (bases 1-52)
Source: RNAcentral